AACGUAGGAGACAAGCGUUAUCCGGAGUUACUGGGCGUAAAGGGCGUGUAGGCGGUUUCGUAAGUCUGGCGUGAAAUUUCUCGGCUUAACCGAGGCAGGUCGUCGGAUACUGCGGAACUUGAGGACGGUAGAGGCGUGUGGAAUUCCGGGUGUAGUGGUGAAAUGCGUAGAGAUCCGGAGGAACACCAGUGGCGAAGGCGACACGCUGGGCCGUACCUGACACUGAUGCGCGACAGCAUGGGGAGCAAACAGG
Molecule: ribosomal RNA, 253 nt
Filed under: uncultured bacterium
Lineage: Bacteria
Description: partial 16S ribosomal RNA
Rfam family: Bacterial small subunit ribosomal RNA
Source: RNAcentral